Molecule: long non-coding RNA, 253 nt
Filed under: Vigna radiata
Lineage: Eukaryota; Viridiplantae; Streptophyta; Magnoliopsida; Fabales; Fabaceae
Description: long non-coding RNA (VRAD_LNC009657)
Source: RNAcentral
UGUGCAAGCAAUCAAGAGACAUAUCACACACAAGAAAGAAUAUCAAGUGGCUCAAAUCUCACACAGGGUAUUUCUGUCACAAUCAAUCACCCUCAAACAUCAUAAUCAUCUUUCCAAGCAAAGAAAAGCAAGGAAUCCAACAAAUCAGAGUAUCAAUGAAGUGAAAGACAAGUCUACAACUAAACCAAAUCCAGAAAUCAAGAGAAACAUGCAAAACUGUACAAAAGACACAACAAAAACUACCUAGAAAACA